AGUGAACGCUGGCGGCAGGCCUAAUACAUGCAAGUCGAACGGCAGCACAGCAGAGCUUGCUCUGUGGGUGGCGAGUGGCGGACGGGUGAGGGAAUACAUGGGAAUCUGCCCAGUCGUGGGGGAUAACGUAUGGAAACGUACGCUAAUACCGCAUGCGCCCUAAGGGGGAAAGCCGGGGACCGCAAGGCCUGGCGCGAUUGGAUGAGCCCAUGUUCGAUUAGCUAGUUGGCGGGUAAAGGCCCACCAAGGCGACGAUCGAUAGCUGGUCUGAGAGGAUGAUCAGCCACACUGGAACUGAGACACGGCCCAGACUCCUACGGGAGGCAGCAGUGGGGAAUCUUGGACAAUGGGCGCAAGCCUGAUCCAGCCAUGCCGCGUGAGUGAAGAAGGUCUUCGGAUUGUAAAGCUCUUUUGCCAGGGACGAUAAUGACGGUACCUGGAGAAUAAGCCCUGGC
RNAcentral lists this ribosomal RNA (455 nucleotides) under uncultured bacterium. RNAcentral's name for it is "bacterial SSU rRNA". It matches the Rfam family "Bacterial small subunit ribosomal RNA", at positions 29 to 497 of the family's 1533-position model. The record is from RNAcentral.